This 253-nucleotide ribosomal RNA is filed under the name uncultured Chitinophaga sp. RNAcentral's name for it is "partial 16S ribosomal RNA". It matches the Rfam family "Bacterial small subunit ribosomal RNA", at positions 524 to 776 of the family's 1533-position model. The record is from RNAcentral. Lineage: Bacteria; Pseudomonadati; Bacteroidota; Chitinophagia; Chitinophagales; Chitinophagaceae.
UACGGAGGGUGCAAGCGUUAUCCGGAUUCACUGGGUUUAAAGGGUGCGUAGGCGGACUUGUAAGUCCGUGGUGAAAUCUCCGAGCUUAACUCGGAAACUGCCAUGGAUACUAUAAGUCUUGAAUGUUGUGGAGGUUAGCGGAAUAUGUCAUGUAGCGGUGAAAUGCUUAGAUAUGACAUAGAACACCGAUUGCGAAGGCAGCUGGCUACACAACUAUUGACGCUGAGGCACGAAAGCGUGGGGAUCAAACAGG